GAGUUUGAUCCUGGCUCAGAGCGAACGCUGGCGGCAGGCCUAACACAUGCAAGUCGAACGGACCCUUCGGGGUUAGUGGCGGACGGGUGAGUAACACGUGGGAACGUGCCUUUAGGUUCGGAAUAGCUCCUGGAAACGGGUGGUAAUGCCGAAUGUGCCCUUCGGGGGAAAGAUUUAUCGCCUUUAGAGCGGCCCGCGUCUGAUUAGCUAGUUGGUGAGGUAAUGGCUCACCAAGGCGACGAUCAGUAGCUGGUCUGAGAGGAUGACCAGCCACAUUGGGACUGGGACACGGCCCAAACUCCUACGGGAGGCAGCAGUGGGGAAUCUUGCGCAAUGGGCGAAAGCCUGACGCAGCCAUGCCGCGUGAAUGAUGAAGGUCUUAGGAUUGUAAAAUUCUUUCACCGGGGACGAUAAUGACGGUACCCGGAGAAGAAGCCCCGGCUAACUUCGUGCCAGCAGCCGCGGUAAUACGAAGGGGGCUAGCGUUGCUCGGAAUUACUGGGCGUAAAGGGCGCGUAGGCGGAUCGUUAAGUCAGAGGUGAAAUCCCGGACUCAACUUCGAACUGCCUUUGAUACUGGCGAUCUA
RNAcentral lists this ribosomal RNA (586 nucleotides) under uncultured bacterium. RNAcentral's name for it is "bacterial SSU rRNA". It matches the Rfam family "Bacterial small subunit ribosomal RNA", at positions 9 to 643 of the family's 1533-position model. The record is from RNAcentral.